This 44-nucleotide ribosomal RNA is filed under the name uncultured Ulvophyceae. RNAcentral's name for it is "partial 18S ribosomal RNA". It matches the Rfam family "Eukaryotic small subunit ribosomal RNA", at positions 1788 to 1831 of the family's 1831-position model. Lineage: Eukaryota; Viridiplantae; Chlorophyta; Ulvophyceae. The record is from RNAcentral.
GUCGUAACAAGGUUUCCGUAGGUGAACCUGCGGAGGGAUCAUUG